RNAcentral lists this long non-coding RNA (405 nucleotides) under Elaeis guineensis (African oil palm). RNAcentral describes it as "long non-coding RNA (EGUI_LNC055294)". The record is from RNAcentral. Lineage: Eukaryota; Viridiplantae; Streptophyta; Magnoliopsida; Arecales; Arecaceae.
CAUCAGAAAUAUUAACUAAACAUCAAUCAAAAAAUCUAAUUUUGACAUAAUAUGAACUGGAUCUAAUCCAUAUCACAAUAAUAACAUGAUAUUACUGUUGGGUUUCGGUGACGCAGCAAAAUAUAAAUUUCAAAAAAUUUUAAAAAUUUUUACAAGCAUUCAACUAUUAAAAAUAAGUUUAACAAUUAAACUAGACCAUCGAAACACAAAAAUCCUAGGAACACCUUGAUGAUUACAAUCAAACAACAUUAACAUGUAAAACAAGAAGAGAUCAGAAGCCAUGUACCAUCAUGAAGAUCAUAAACUGAUAAUCUUAAGAUCUCUACAAGACUCUAAAGUAGAAGUCCUCCAACAAUGAUCCACACAGGACUGAUCAAAGACCUUCCCAAUGUGACGUAGUACUGC